RNAcentral lists this ribosomal RNA (517 nucleotides) under Lithobius castaneus. RNAcentral's name for it is "bacterial SSU rRNA". It matches the Rfam family "Eukaryotic small subunit ribosomal RNA", at positions 1144 to 1804 of the family's 1831-position model. Lineage: Eukaryota; Metazoa; Arthropoda; Chilopoda; Lithobiomorpha; Lithobiidae. The record is from RNAcentral.
UUGAUGAAAUUGACGGAAGGGCACCACCAGGAGUGGAGCCUACGGCUUAAUUUGACUCAACACGGGAAACCUCAUCCAGACCAGCUACGGGAAGGAUUGACAGAUUGAGAGUUCUUCUUAAUUCAGUGGGUGGUGGUGCAUGGCCGUUCUCAAUUGAGCAAUAACAGGUCUGUGACGCCCUUGAUGUCUGGAGCCACACGUGCGCUACAAUGAAAGAAUCAGCGCGUCCUGCCAUAGUCCGACAGGACCGAGCAAUACGCUGAAACUCUUUCGUGAUAGGGAUCGGGGUUUGGAAUUGACGCCGUGAACGAGGAAUUCCCAGUAAGCGUGAGUCAUAAGCUUGCGUUGAUUACGUCCCUGCCCUUUGUACACACUGCCCGUUGCUACUACGAACUGAAAGAUUUAGUUCGGUCUUUGGACUGGCAGCUGCAGCAGCCCUCGGGUUGUUACUGCAUGUCGGGAAGAUGAUCGAACUUAACCAUUCGAUGGUGGAAGUAAAAGUCGUAACGAAUUUUCU